Molecule: ribosomal RNA, 394 nt
Filed under: uncultured bacterium
Lineage: Bacteria
Description: partial 16S ribosomal RNA
Rfam family: Bacterial small subunit ribosomal RNA
Source: RNAcentral
ACACGUAGGGGGCGAGCGUUGUUCGGAAUCAUUGGGCGUAAAGGGCGUGCAGGCGGUCCUGCAAGUCCGGCGUGAAAGACCCCGGCCCGACCGGGGGGACGCGCUGGAAACUGCAGGGCUUGAGUACAGGAGGGGAUGCCGGAAUUCCAGGUGUAGGGGGGAAAUCUGUAGAUAUCUGGAAGAACACCAAUGGCGAAGGCAGGCAUCUGGCCAUGUACUGACGCUGAGACGCAAAGGUGCGGGGAGCAAACAGGUUUAGAUACCCUGGUAGUCCGCACAGUAAACGAUGUGCACCAGGUGGCGGGGGGUCGACCCCCGGUACCGUAGCUAACGCAUUAAGUGCACCGCCUGGGGAGUAUGCUCGCAAGGGUGAAACUCAAAGGAAUUGACGGGG